AUCGCUUCUCGGCCUUUUGGCUAAGAUCAAAGUUUAGUUUCUGUUCUUAUCGAAUUAACCUUCGAUAGAGAUUCGAGUAUUCCAAUAGAUAAUGUCGCUGUCUCCAAUUUUU
Molecule: small nuclear RNA, 112 nt
Filed under: Ancylostoma ceylanicum
Lineage: Eukaryota; Metazoa; Nematoda; Chromadorea; Rhabditida; Ancylostomatidae
Description: U2 spliceosomal RNA
Rfam family: U2 spliceosomal RNA
About the family: U2 is a small nuclear RNA (snRNA) component of the spliceosome (involved in pre-mRNA splicing). Complementary binding between U2 snRNA (in an area lying towards the 5' end but 3' to hairpin I) and the branchpoint sequence (BPS) of the intron results the bulging out of an unpaired adenosine, on the BPS, which initiates a nucleophilic attack at the intronic 5' splice site, thus starting the first of two transesterification reactions that mediate splicing.
Source: Rfam by way of RNAcentral